This 73-nucleotide transfer RNA is filed under the name Ixodes scapularis (black-legged tick). It matches the Rfam family "tRNA". From Rfam's summary of the family: Transfer RNA (tRNA) molecules are approximately 80 nucleotides in length. Their secondary structure includes four short double-helical elements and three loops (D, anti-codon, and T loops). The record is from Rfam by way of RNAcentral. Lineage: Eukaryota; Metazoa; Arthropoda; Arachnida; Ixodida; Ixodidae.
CCCUGAUUAGCUCAGUUGGUACAGCGCUCCACUAAAAAUGGAGAGGUCCCGGGUUCGAAGCUUGAACCAGGCG